Molecule: ribosomal RNA, 253 nt
Filed under: uncultured bacterium
Lineage: Bacteria
Description: partial 16S ribosomal RNA
Rfam family: Bacterial small subunit ribosomal RNA
Source: RNAcentral
UACGAAGGGGGCUAGCGUUGCUCGGAAUUACUGGGCGUAAAGGGCGCGUAGGCGGACAGUUUAGUCAGAGGUGAAAGCCCAGGGCUCAACCUUGGAAAUGCCUUUGAUACUGGCUGUCUUGAGUUCGGGAGAGGUGAGUGGAAUGCCGAGUGUAGAGGUGAAGUUCGUAGAUAUUCGGCGGAACACCAGUGGCGAAGGCGACUCACUGGCCCGAUACUGACGCUGAGGCGCGAAAGCGUGGGGAGCAAACAGG